CCUACGGGAGAUAGCAGUGAGGAAUAUUGGUCAAUGGACGAGAGUCUGAACCAGCCAAGUAGCGUGAAGGAUGACUGCCCUAUGGGUUGUAAACUUCUUUUAUAUGGGAAUAAAAUGUUCCACGUGUGGGAUUUUGUAUGUACCAUAUGAAUAAGGAUAGGCUAACUCCGUGCCAGCAGCCGCGGUAAUACGGAGGAUCCGAGCGUUAUCCGGAUGUAUUGGGUCUAAAGGGAGCGUAGGUGGAUUGUUAAGUCAGUUGUGAAAGUUUGCGGCUCAACCGUAAAAUUGCAGUUGAAACUGGCAGUCUUGAGUACAGUAGAGGUUGGCGGAAUUCGUGGUGUAGCGGUGAAAUGCUGAGAUAUCACGAAGAACUCCGAUUGCGAAGGCAGCUCACUGAACUGCAACUGACACUGAGGCUCGAAAGUGUGGGUAUCAAACAGGAUUAGAUACCCCUGUAGUC
This 460-nucleotide ribosomal RNA is filed under the name uncultured bacterium. RNAcentral describes it as "partial 16S ribosomal RNA". It matches the Rfam family "Bacterial small subunit ribosomal RNA", at positions 338 to 795 of the family's 1533-position model. The record is from RNAcentral.